RNAcentral lists this long non-coding RNA (3837 nucleotides) under Gossypium barbadense (sea-island cotton). RNAcentral's name for it is "long non-coding RNA (GBAR_LNC016476)". Lineage: Eukaryota; Viridiplantae; Streptophyta; Magnoliopsida; Malvales; Malvaceae. The record is from RNAcentral.
CGACUCUUACAGUGCCGACAAGAAGAUGCAGGUCACUGUUGCUUUGAACCACUUCGGUAAAGGAUUGGUAGAGAGGAUGCCUAGGUGCCGAUUUGGUUUUAUUCAUGUCGUCAACAAUGACUACAAUCACUGGUUCCUGUAUGCCAUUGGCGGCACCAGCAACCCUACAAUUAUCAGCCAGGGAAAUAGGUAUUCAGCGCCAGGCUUUGGGGCUAAAGAGGUGACCUGUAGGGGCCUCUUAAAGCCGGGACAGUGGAAGAAUUGGAAUUGGGUAUCACAAGGUGACCACUUCGAGAACGGUGCCUUCUUUACACCAUCAGGUAAUCCAAGUGCCAGCAAGCAAUUUGGCGCCGACAAAAUGAUGCCUUUCAAACCUGGUCAAAUGGUCCCCGAGCUCACAAAGUAUGCCGGACCACUAAGCUGCACAAUCGGCCGUCCUUGCUAAAAAUGCUAUUUUUAUAUGCAUUUGUCCUCCCUUUUUUACGUACAAUAUUUGAUACCCAAGCAUAGUACAUUUGGUAUCUUUUCUGAAUGAUUGUCAGUAAAUUUUCUUUUAUGCGAUCCCACCCUAUUCUCUUCUUCUCUCCUAGUAAUAGAUAAUCACAAUUUUUUUCUCACGCGUGACUGUGGAAAUCAUAAAUUUAGAACAUAAAUGUUUGUUUGAAAAUAACAUAUAAUGAAUAAUGAAAUGUGUGGUUUGAAAUAAAGUAACAAUAAUAACAUUGAUUAUCAUGGUGUUUUCAUCAAUCUUUAGUUGGUGUAGGCACCAAAUCAAUCAAAUACAUUAAUCUAACAUAUCUAGUAUAUAUUCUAUUGCAAGGUUAUUUUGGAUUUGUGGAAACCUUCAGUUUGAAGUGAGUUUAGAAUUCGCUAUGCGUCACCAAUCAUUUCAUGACAGCAAUGGAAAUUAAUGAAAUAAAAUAUUUGGUUAGAACUAAAGUUGCGUAAUUAAUUAAAAAUUUUAACAAUCGCGAGACCAUUUAGUUUCUAUAAAUUUUGCAUGUCCCAACUUACAUAUUCGGGUAAUUAGUCAUUUGUCAAAACACAUCAAAGUGAGAAAAGAAAGAAACAAGAAUCAUGGUCAUUCCUCUAUAGUUAUAUUCGUAAUAAUGCAAUCGCAACGGUGAUUCCACCAGGUGUUCUUGCAUCACCAAGAACUAAAUUGAUUUUCUAGAACAAGAUUUAUAAUGGAGACAUCAAGUAUGUAUUUAAGGUGGUGUAUGAGUUAGAUUUCUUUAAGACUCAGCGGGGGUCGGGGAGCCGCCCAAGACAUUGCUUUUACCAGUAUAAAGUCAAAUACCGAAGCAAAAAAACUUGCAAAGCCGAGAGGACAUAGGAUUAAUAAUUCAGCACCUAUGUUUUGAGUUGCUCCAUAGUUGACGCGUGGUAUCAGCUUAGUAAGGGCUUAAAUAAUCGUAUAGAUAUUUAUAAUUGAUGGACAUAAUAAAGUAUGCUUAACAAAUUUGAAAAUCAAAAAAGAAAAUCAAUGUCUUGGUACAGUGUUAAAUUUAUGGUUUUACUAGCAUAAUAAUUGAUUUGGGUUCAAAUCCCUUCGACAACAUAUUUUAUAUUCUUUUAAAACAAUAAGAAUUAAAAUAACCUUCAAUAAUAUAACUUAUUUUAAACAUGACAGGAAUGUAUUUCUAAUUUCCGUAAUAGAGUCGAUGCUCGAUCGACUCAUGUCACCGAAUUAGUUAAGGACUUCAAUAAAUGUUAGUAUAGAUUGUAACAAUAAUGAAAUAUGCAUUAAAAAUCACCACAGAGGUUCAAUAUACACUCGAAUCUCUGUACUCUUUUAGACUUUUAAAAUUUGAAUACAUAGUGCUUUUAUAUUCAAAGGUCCAAGUAAUAAAUUAGAGUCCAAUUCAUAUCACAUAUUCAGAUUUGAGAGAAAUAAAUAAACUCUCUUACCAAUUGAACUUUUAUUUUUUAAAUCAACCAAGUGCAAGGAUUAAAAUCUUGAAAUUGAAAGGAGAGAGGUUUCAUCUGGAAAUGUUGAAGAGUAAAGGGAUUGGAGGAUAAUUAGAGAUUUUUUUUUGUAAUUUCUGAAAUUAGACGUUUAGAAUGGUCUAAAAAAUACAAGAAAACCUCAACUGUUUCUAUCCAAAAAAAAGGAAACAAAAUCCAACCAUUUUUUACGCACUUGAAACACUAGUAGCCAAGUGUGUUUUGUAAAUUUGGAAAUUUUCAUGAAUCCCGGUGUACUAUAAAUAGUGACAUAAUGAUGGUGUUCCAAGCAAAUCAUGCUCGAGUUCAAGUUUUUGGUGCCGUAGCUUGUCUCUCCUGUCCUAUUAGGGUCCUGUUUGCAUCCAACCAGUUGUUUCCAAGAGCUAGGCUUUGAUACUUAAAAUAAGAACCACUAUGGGUAUUUCUAGUUAUAGUUUCUUUCUGUUUUUAUUUGUUGUCAUAAUCCCAAACCUAGAAGCUCAUAUCGCUGAGUAUGACGAGUACUGGACGGCACGAGAAUUGGAAGCCAUUGAGAACCUGGACAAGGCCUAUCACUCCAACCCGGAGGAGGUGGUCCGCCAUUACAAUGACCACUUCUCUAGGACCAUGCUCGAGUUUUAUAUCACCAAAAGGGUGUUGGCAGAAUCAAAAAAGGGUCCCUGUGAGGUUACCAACCACGUUGACAGUUGCUGGCGAUGUGAUCCUGACUGGGAAAAGAAUAGGAAGAAGUUGGCCAACUGUGCCCCUGGAUUUGCUCGAGGUACUACCGGUGGAAAGGAUGGUGAGUUUUACGUGGUCACUGACCCUAUUGAUAAUGCUGCUGACCCCAAGCCUGGAACUCUGCGUCAUGCUGUCACCCAAACUGGACCACUUUGGAUCACUUUCAAAGGGUCCAUGACCAUCAAGCUGCAACAGGAGCUCAUUGUUACAAGUGAUAAGACCAUUGAUGCGAGGGGAGCCAAUGUGGAAAUUUGUAAUGGUGCUGGUAUCACUAUCCAAUUUGUGAAGAAUAUCAUUAUCCAUGGCCUUCAAAUCCAUCACAUUAUUCCCGCCAAGGGUGGCAAGAUCAAGGAUGGUGAAAACCACCAUGGGUUACGGGGUGACAGCGACGGAGACGGGGUGUCUAUUUUUGGAUCAACCAAUGUUUGGCUUGACCAUCUUGCCCUUCACCAUUGCGCCGAUGGCCUUAUCGAUGUCGUUCAAGGAUCAACUGCCGUUACCGUUUCUAACUGCCACUUCACUGACCAUAACGAUGUAAGCUUACUUUCCUUUCAAUUUUAAACUACGCACGAUGAGGAAUUUUUUGAUUGACAAAAAUAAUACAAUUGAAAUGAAAAAAAUUACAGGUGAUGUUGUUUGGAGCAAGCGACUCUUACAGUGCCGACAAGAAGAUGCAGGUCACUGUUGCUUUGAACCACUUCGGUAAAGGAUUGGUAGAGAGGAUGCCUAGGUGUCCGAUUUGGUUUUAUUCAUGUCGUCAACAAUGACUACAAUCACUGGUUCCUGUAUGCCAUUGGCGGCACCAGCAACCCUACAAUUAUCAGCCAGGGAAAUAGGUAUUCAGCGCCAGGCUUUGGGGCUAAAGAGGUGACCUGUAGGGGCCUCUUAAAGCCGGGACAGUGGAAGAAUUGGAAUUGGGUAUCACAAGGUGACCACUUCGAGAACGGUGCCUUCUUUACACCAUCAGGUAAUCCAAGUGCCAGCAAGCAAUUUGGCGCCGACAAAAUGAUGCCUUUCAAACCUGGUCAAAUGGUCCCCGAGCUCACAAAGUAUGCCGGACCACUAAGCUGCACAAUCGGCCGUCCUUGCUAAAAAUGCUAUUUUUAUAUGCAUUUGUCCUCCCUUUUUUACGUACAAUAUUUGAUACCCAAGCAUAGUACAUUUGGUAUC